GCAGUGGUGGUUCAGUGGUAGAAUUCUUGCCUUCCAUGCAGGAGACCUGGUUCCAUUCCCAGCCAAAGCA
Molecule: transfer RNA, 70 nt
Filed under: Loxodonta africana (African savanna elephant)
Lineage: Eukaryota; Metazoa; Chordata; Mammalia; Proboscidea; Elephantidae
Rfam family: tRNA
About the family: Transfer RNA (tRNA) molecules are approximately 80 nucleotides in length.
Source: Rfam by way of RNAcentral